CAGGCUCAGGAGGAAGGGGCUUCAUCACCAUCUUCCCCAGAGCAAGGGAGAGCAUGGGACACUGUGAGGCUGGCAGACACACUGUUUCCCAGGCAAGACCCUCCCCAGGCCUGGCAGAGCAGUAGGCUCAAGGCAGGUCACCACAGCAUUCAUCUCAACUCCCCAUGCACCUCCACCAGGAGACCAGUCCCCUCCAGUGCUUUUUGUAGCAGCAUUUCCUUGCGUUGCAGACCUCCCACUGAGGACCCAUCUUCACAAAAGGUGAUCUUCUCGAUGUCCACCGAGCCCUUCUUACUGCCGCGGCGCUGCAACAGACAGGGUUGGUUCAAAGCACCACCCAAGGCGGAGACCCGAGGAGACUCGAGCCGACCACCGUCCCCAUCCAGCCACCCCUUGGGCUGGCAGGAACAGGCGCUUCUUGAAGUUGAGGGGAGAUGUUUUCUUCUUCUGCUGAGAGCGCUUCAGGAAGAUGCUUUCCAGGAUGAUGCUGGCCAUGUUGGUCCUCCCGGCCCCCUCCGCCCCACACUCGCCGGGUUGCUGUGAGCAGGACAACACUGGCACUGCACCGGCUCAGCUGAAAACCUGCCCACCCCUGGACCUUGUUCAGGUGAGCUCUGUCUCCUGCCUGAGGGGCAUCCAGAGGGAGCUGGAAGCGCCGUGGGUGGGGAGGAAUCAGCUGUAGAGGUGCAUGGGCAGGUCAGUGCAGGGUAUUUGCCACACGACCUCUCCUGUCCCCGCUCCGACGACAGCCCGUGGACCAAGUGACCACCCUGCCAGCAUCAGCUCCCAACGGGUGCUGGAGAGACUCCCCGGAUGUGUGGGCAGAUAGAUGGACACACACCACAGACAGAUAGAUGGACACAUACCACAGGCGGCCAGAGAGGGAGGAAGCCGAGGAAGCUGUGAGAAGUGUAGCCCCGGGGAGGAGCACAGAGCCUGAGCAGCAACACCCAGCAGGCUCCCUCCUCCCCUCCAACACUGCUGUGUGUUUGUGUGGGCCAUUUCCUCCUGCCACACCGCAGAGGCUUUGUGCCAGGGGCAGGUUGACUCGGCGGCAUGCAGGGGACAGUUGUGGGAGGCCAGUCCCUACAAAUCUGUUAGUAGGUCCUGACCCUGCAGCGCUGUGCUGCUGAGCAUGGAGUAGCCCUAAGGUCAUCCCUUCCCUCUGCCUGUAGCAGUGAGGGAAAGGUGCUCAAUGCCCUUUCCUGCCCUGCGAGCAGCCUGGCUGGAGGCCAGGCUCAUAGGGCUGCCUCCAGGCAGCAGCUAGAGGGGUUAAGCCCUUCUCAGUGAAACACUCCUGAUGAGCUUUUCCAGGGAUGGUCUAUCUGGAAAGGACAGAGGUGAGAGCCUCAUAUCCCACUGCUGCCCUGCCAUCAGAGCUCAUCUGCCCUGGCCUAUUUAUUGAAGCAGCUUGGCUAUCUUAGGCAGCACCCAGGCACUUGUGCCACCCAGACAGUUUCAGCAACCCACAGGGCCAUGUGGCUGCAGCUGUAGGCACCUCCUCCUGUGAGGGCUUUAACCAACACUUGUCUCCAGUCUGGACUUAUCAGGGAGCUAAUGAGCUAUGUGGGGCCA
Molecule: long non-coding RNA, 1575 nt
Organism: Pogoniulus pusillus (Red-fronted tinkerbird)
Lineage: Eukaryota; Metazoa; Chordata; Aves; Piciformes; Lybiidae
Exons: 3
Source: RefSeq, a predicted model, not a curated record